Long non-coding RNA from Saccostrea cuccullata (small rock oyster), 3106 nucleotides. RefSeq lists it as uncharacterized. The transcript is spliced from 5 exons. The record is from RefSeq and is a predicted model, not a curated record. Lineage: Eukaryota; Metazoa; Mollusca; Bivalvia; Ostreida; Ostreidae.
GACACAAUCAAAAUACAAAAUGUUAUAAACAGAUAAAUAAAAUAAACUUAUUUGUCAAUUUCGGAGUUGAAACUCUCAACCUAAGCAUAAAUACAUCUGUAACUAAGUUUUAUGACAACUGAUUGUGUAUAUUCUCAGUAAUUAGCAAAAACCCGGUUUCAGUUUCAAAGUCCCGGCCCGGCUCGGUUUUAACCACUGUUGACUACUCAUUUUAGUCCCCCUCCAGAUCUUUGUCUUGUUUAAAUUAAAAUUCCAGAGACAUACACCUUUACAGAAAAAAAAACUGAAACCCAUAAACAUUUAAUCCCCAAAUUAUCAAAAUACUAAUCUAGCAUUCUGGCAGUAAAUAACAUAUACAGCGAAGUUUUGUUUCACUACAUUUAUGCACAAUGUACUGAUCUAUGCUGAAAGUGAAAACGGUUUGAAAUCGUAAACAAACCUGCAGUGCAUGCCAAGCCAUGAAUCCGGGAGUUCGAGCAGUUGUCAAGACAAGAAUCUCCUUAAAUUAUCUAGAUGAGGUUUCAAAAAAUUACCACAGGUUGCAAACUUCGUCAAAAUAGCGAUGCAGACCCGCUCCACUUGAUUUGAAAUGAUUGGCUAUUCAACCGAAUACACAGUGCCAUAUUUGGGUUACUUAUCAGAGUAGAUCGUUCAUUUAACAUUCGAGAAGAGUUUACAUAUUAUUUGAAUGAAGAGGAUAACAUAAUACUGAGCUGAAAAUUGUGUGUAAAGUAUGUUUUAGUAGUUUACAAUACAGACUGUAAAUGUGCGGGAGAUUUUAUAGAUAUUGAAGCUUGUAAACAAAACCAAUAAACGUAGGACUUAUUCACGGCAAUGUAUGGGAACCAGAACAGGGAACCAGUCUAGAAGGCAAAGAAAAUUCCGCCAAGUAAACAACAAAGAAAGGGAUUUGGGAUGUUGUCAGUUGUAUGUAUACAUUAUGUGCGACGGUGACUGCAAGAAAAAAGGAAUGUGGAGCUAAUGCAUGCUGCUAAGGAUGGAAAGGUCUUGUGUUUAUUGGUUGUGCCUGAGACACCAGUCACAGUUGUACCUUAUUUCCAUUUUAGGGAGUCUAUAUACAUUUGAGGUGAGCGGCAGAUUUAAUUUUGAAGAAGGGUGACUUUCAGAUGUUGUGAUGAAGAUUGUUGAAAGGGAUUAUCAGCAUACAACCAAUCCAUAUGAAUGUGCAAGUCAGGGAGUCUAGAUACAUUUGAGGUGAGCGGCAGAUUUAAUUUUGAAGAAGGGUGACUUUCAGAUGUUGUGAUGAAGAUUGUUGAAAGGGAUUAUCAGCAUAGAACCAAUCCAUAUGAAUUUGCAAGUCAGGACUUACAACACCUGAGUGCCUAGAUGACUGUUGAACUAAUUGGUGAACAAGAAAAGAUGCCAGAGAGGGGAAUCCAAUACAGAUGUCAUGAUCAAGAAUAUAUACUCUUAACAAUGAUAUGAUCAAGAAUAUGUUAACUUGUAAUGAUUUAAAAUAUCUUAUCUGUAAAUCACUCUUCAUUACUUAAUUGUUCACACAUUAUCAUCUACACUUAUGCUAUAAAUCUUAUCUGUAUAUUAAUCGCCCCCUCUUAUCUAACCCCCUGCUGAUUGUAAUGACCUGUGUAUUGACUCCUGAUCUUAAGGAUCUUGUAAUGUACUCCUGAUCAUCAGGAACGGAUCUUGAGUAUAUAUAUAGUGCGACAGAAUUUUAGAAUAAGAUAGGAAGAUGGAAAUAUAGAAGACUUAGUAGAUAGAACUGUUAGAGAUAGAUAAAGUUACUCACUUACUUGGACUAUUACAUAAUAAUUCUUGGAUUUAUAUGUACAUGUGAUUGUUUUACUUGAAUUUAUUUUUUGUGAAUUAUUUUUCCUGAAUGUUUCUAUUUAUGAUGUGCUGUGUAAAUAAACUGUAGACUAGAAUUUCGGCAUCUAUUUUCAAGAUAUGAGGAACAAGGAUAAAUUAAUUUAUUCAUGCAAACUGAAAUUAUGAAAUGUGUUGUAAGACCGCUCGGUGUGGCGCUACAAACUAACUAGGAAAUAUCUUGGAGAUUUAUAGAUGAACAUGCAAGCAUUCAUGAUUUUGAAUGUUAUUUAGCAAGAGAGUUUUGCACAAAUUUAAUUUUCAGUACAGUAAUUUAAACUGGAUGUGUAAUUUUCAGUACAGUUAUGUAAAAUGAAUAUGUUACUUAUUAUGAUUGUCAAUUUCUCUACAGGACAUAAUUGUAGUUUAUUUAUAUGGUCACUCUUGCAGUACAAAACACACAAAACUUUUUUUCUCUGUGUGCAUCAUACACUUGUGAAUGUUUUACACCACCAUGUUUACAUAUUUUACAUUGAUGACAUGUAAAUCGAGCACACAUAUCUGGAUACAUGCAAACAUGCAUUUACCAUAACCUAUUACAUAUUUUCCAAGGCGUGUGAAGUCGAGCACAUACAUGAAAAUGUGUGAAGCUGGACACAUACGCAAAUACACAUGCAUCUGCCACAACCUAUUACAUAUUUUCCAAGGUGUGUGAAGUCGAGCACAUACAUGAAAAUGUGUGAAGCUGGACACAUACACAAAUACACAUGCAUCUGCCACAACCUAUUACAUAUUUUCCAAGGCGUGUGAAGUCGAGCACAUACAUGAAAAUUUGUGAAGCUGGACACAUAUGCAAACACACUAACAUAUACUACAGACAUAAAAACAUUAUCUAAACUAAGUCAAGCACAGACAGGCUCACUGGGUGAAGCUGGAUUCAUACAUGAUCUCAUGCAUUUUGCAAACUGCAUCCUCACAUAUAUUCUAAUAGAUUUUUCACCAUUUUUUGUGUUUGUGAAUAUGUAAAAUGCAUCAUUUUGCAUUACAAGUUGAAGAUGUUAUUAGCCUGUAUGUAAGCGCAAAUUAAAUUACCUUUUAUGUAAUUUUUUCACAUUUUUAAUUCAAUUUAAACUGCAAAGUUUAUUUCAUAUAUGUACAUGCACCAUAAAGAAUAAAUAAUAUUGUACCGGUAUUAUAUUUUAAAGUGAAAUGGGACCUCCAUUUCAUAAGCAGAAAUGUGAAAUUUAUACUUAUCAUCUGUAUCUUUUUUUUUUAUUUUGUCUCACAUGUAUCUGAAUGUGUAAAGGAAAACAAAAGUCAA